This 227-nucleotide unclassified non-coding RNA is filed under the name fungal sp. RNAcentral's name for it is "partial contains small subunit ribosomal RNA, internal transcribed spacer 1, and 5.8S ribosomal RNA". The stretch from base 1 to 46 matches the Rfam family "Eukaryotic small subunit ribosomal RNA", at positions 1786 to 1831 of the family's 1831-position model. The record is from RNAcentral. Lineage: Eukaryota; Fungi. RNAcentral also lists the same sequence under 1 other name.
AAGUCGUAACAAGGUCUCCGUAGGUGAACCUGCGGAGGGAUCAUUAAUGAGUGAGGGCCUCCGGCCCGACCUCCCACCCUUUGUUGUACCGACCUCUGUUGCCUCGGGGGCGACCCGGCGCUUCGGCGCGGGGGCCCCCGGUGGACUUUGAUCAAACGCUGCAUCUUUGACGUCUGAGUGAAUUGAUAAAUCAAUCAAAACUUUCAACAACGGAUCUCUUGGUUCUG